AGUGAACGCUGGCGGUGGGCCUAACACAUGCAAGUCGAACGGCAGCACAGUAAGAGCUUGCUCUUACGGGUGGCGAGUGGCGGACGGGUGAGGAAUACAUCGGAAUCUACUUUUUCGUGGGGGAUAACGUAGGGAAACUUACGCUAAUACCGCAUACGACCUACGGGUGAAAGCAGGGGAUCUUCGGACCUUGCGCGAUUGAAUGAGCCGAUGUCGGAUUAGCUAGUUGGCGGGGUAACGGCCCACCAAGGCGACGAUCCGUAGCUGGUCUGAGAGGAUGAUCAGCCACACUGGAACUGAGACACGGUCCAGACUCCUACGGGAGGCAGCAGUGGGGAAUAUUGGACAAUGGGCGCAAGCCUGAUCCAGCCAUACCGCGUGGGUGAAGAAGGCCUUCUGGUUGUAAAGCCCUUUUGUUGGGAAAGAAAAGCAGCAGGUUAAUACCCCGCUGUUCUGACGGUACCCAAAGAAUAAGCACCGGCUAACUUCGUG
This 492-nucleotide ribosomal RNA is filed under the name uncultured bacterium. Its description in RNAcentral is "partial 16S ribosomal RNA". It matches the Rfam family "Bacterial small subunit ribosomal RNA", at positions 29 to 507 of the family's 1533-position model. The record is from RNAcentral.